UACGGAGGGUGCAAACGUUGCUCGGAAUCAUUGGGCGUAAAGCGCACGUAGGCGGCCCGUUAAGUCGGAUGUGAAAGCCCAGGGCUCAACCCUGGAAGUGCAUUCGAUACUGGCAGGCUUGAAUAUGGAAGAGGGUCGCGGAAUUCCCGGUGUAGAGGUGAAAUUCGUAGAUAUCGGGAGGAACACCAGUGGCGAAGGCGGCGACCUGGGCCAAUAUUGACGCUGAGGAGCGAAAGCCAGGGGAGCAAACGGG
This 253-nucleotide ribosomal RNA is filed under the name uncultured bacterium. Its description in RNAcentral is "partial 16S ribosomal RNA". It matches the Rfam family "Bacterial small subunit ribosomal RNA", at positions 524 to 776 of the family's 1533-position model. The record is from RNAcentral.